GAAUUUUAGGGCCUAGGCUCUGUUGCUCUGUUUCCUGUCUGGAUGGUUUAAAGGGAAGAGUGUGCUCCACAUAUGGUCAUGGUUUCACACAGCCCUGGAGGAACCUGAGGUCUGAGCAUGUGAAUCCUAGUUCCUACUUACUUUGUUUUCCAGAAAUUAUUAACCAAGGCCAUCCCUGUGGAUCUUAUUAGAACCAGGUGCAGGCGAUCCACUUACUUAAGGAAACUUUCCCAUAACUGAGUGUACCGGCGAGACCAGGAUUGAAGGGUCAAGUUCAUAGGAGAUAUUCAGAGGAGGUUCGAGGCUGUCUGGCAGUUGACCUGUCUCAGUCUGAUGAACAGAAGAGGGCGGUGGAAAGUAGAUUUAAAUAGGCCAGAGUGAAGUUGUAGAAGAGCUGAUGGACUCUAGCGACAAGAAGAAAGACAGGAAGCCAGAAGAAGCCAGGCUGCCAGUGCCUGCCAAUCACGUGCUGGGCUGAGCAGUUCGUAAACAUUAAAGAGUUUGACUGGCAGCUCCCCUUAGAUAAGAACACAUUCAUCCUGCUGGGUGCAGUCCAAUCUACAUGUGCAGACAGAAGCAAUGGAUCCCGCUGAUGCACUGUGGCCAGACAAGAUCAUCUCUUCUGAGGGCAGGUUGGGUGGAGGUGUGGGAGCCGGAGGAACUAAUAAAGGAAGAAAGGAAAAGAGAGCAGACCUGAAUACUGACCUACUGUGAAGCUCGGAGGACAAUGGGAAAAUCCCCGCCGGGGUCUGGCCAGGUUCUGCCUCCAUCCAUCCCCUUCUGUGACUGCACAGAAGUGUCCAGAGAUCGCGUCAUUCCAUCACGUCCCGAAAGCGGUCGCCUGUCAUCUCUGAUGCCCUUUCUCCUGUGCCUGGCACACAUGCUUUCUCCUUCCAGAUUCAGGUGUUGUGUGACAUAGCCAAGGGAACGAGCAUUAACAGCCUGUCUCUGUGUGUGUGUGUGUGUGUGUGUGUGUGUGUGUGUGUGUGUGUGAGAGAGAGAGAGAGAGAGAGAGAGAGAGACAGACAGACAGACAGACAGACAG
Non-coding RNA from Rattus norvegicus (Norway rat), 1045 nucleotides. The record is from RefSeq and is a predicted model, not a curated record. NCBI's taxonomy places the organism in Eukaryota, Metazoa, Chordata, Mammalia, Rodentia, Muridae.